This 459-nucleotide ribosomal RNA is filed under the name uncultured bacterium. Its description in RNAcentral is "partial 16S ribosomal RNA". It matches the Rfam family "Bacterial small subunit ribosomal RNA", at positions 338 to 795 of the family's 1533-position model. The record is from RNAcentral.
CCUACGGGUGGCAGCAGUGAGGAAUAUUGGUCAAUGGGAGAGAUCCUGAACCAGCCAAGCCGCGUGAGGGAAGACGGCCCUAUGGGUUGUAAACCUCUUUUGUCGGAGAACAAAACCCGGGACGUGUCCCGGACUGCGUGUAUCCGAAGAAAAAGCAUCGGCUAACUCCGUGCCAGCAGCCGCGGUAAUACGGAGGAUGCGAGCGUUAUCCGGUUUUAUUGGGUUAAAAGGGUGGGUAGGCGGUCCGUUAAGUCAGCGGUAAAAUUUCGGGGCUCAACCCCGUCGAGCCGUUGAAACUGGCAGACUUGAGUGGGCGAGAGGUACGCGGAAUGCGCGGUGUAGCGGUGAAAUGCAUAGAUAUCACGCAGAACCCCGAUUGCGAAGGCAGCAUACCGGUGCACAACUGACGCUCAGGCACGAAAGCGUGGGUAUCGAACAGGAUUAGAUACCCCUGUAGUC